AUUGAACGCUGGCGGCAUGCUUUACACAUGCAAGUCGAACGGUAACAGGCCUUCGGGUGCUGACGAGUGGCGCACGGGUGAGUAAUGCAUCGGAACGUACCCAGAGGUGGGGGAUAACGCAGCGAAAGCUGUGCUAAUACCGCAUGUGAUCUGAGGAUGAAAGCGGGGGACCGAGCAGCAAUGUUUGGCCUCGCGCCUUUGGAGCGGCCGAUGUCGGAUUAGCUAGUUGGUGGGGUAAAGGCCUACCAAGGCGACGAUCCGUAGCUGGUCUGAGAGGACGACCAGCCACACUGGGACUGAGACACGGCCCAGACUCCUACGGGAGGCAGCAGUGGGGAAUUUUGGACAAUGGGCGCAAGCCUGAUCCAGCAAUGCCGCGUGCGGGAAGAAGGCCUUCGGGUUGUAAAGCGCUUUUGGCAGGAACGAAACGGUGUCCGCUAAUACCGGGCGCUAAUGACGGUACCUGCAGAAUAAGCACCGGCUAACUACGUG
RNAcentral lists this ribosomal RNA (492 nucleotides) under uncultured bacterium. Its description in RNAcentral is "partial 16S ribosomal RNA". It matches the Rfam family "Bacterial small subunit ribosomal RNA", at positions 29 to 507 of the family's 1533-position model. The record is from RNAcentral.